CGUGCUUAACACAUGCAAGUCGAACGAUGAAGCCCUUCGGGGUGGAUUAGUGGCGAACGGGUGAGUAACACGUGGGCAAUCUGCCCUUCACUCUGGGACAAGCCCUGGAAACGGGGUCUAAUACCGGAUAACACUUUCCCUCUCAUGGGGGAAGGUUAAAAGCUCCGGCGGUGAAGGAUGAGCCCGCGGCCUAUCAGCUAGUUGGUGGGGUAAUGGCCUACCAAGGCGACGACGGGUAGCCGGCCUGAGAGGGCGACCGGCCACACUGGGACUGAGACACGGCCCAGACUCCUACGGGAGGCAGCAGUGGGGAAUAUUGCACAAUGGGCGAAAGCCUGAUGCAGCGACGCCGCGUGAGGGAUGACGGCCUUCGGGUUGUAAACCUCUUUCAGCAGGGAAGAAGCGAAAGUGACGGUACCUGCAGAAGAAGCGCCGGCUAACUACGUGCCAGCAGCCGCGGUAAUACGUAGGGCGCAAGCGUUGUCCGGAAUUAUUGGGCGUAAAGAGCUCGUAGGCGGCUUGUUGCGUCGGUUGUGAAAGCCCGGGGCUUAACCCCGGGUCUGCAGUCGAUACGGGCAGGCUAGAGUGUGGUAGGGGAGAUCGGAAUUCCUGGUGUAGCGGUGAAAUGCGCAGAUAUCAGGAGGAACACCGGUGGCGAAGGCGGAUCUCUGGGCCAUUACUGACGCUGAGGAGCGAAAGCGUGGGGAGCGAACAGGAUUAGAUACCCUGGUAGUCCACGCCGUAAACGUUGGGAACUAGGUGU
RNAcentral lists this ribosomal RNA (763 nucleotides) under Streptomycetaceae bacterium. RNAcentral describes it as "bacterial SSU rRNA". It matches the Rfam family "Bacterial small subunit ribosomal RNA", at positions 43 to 823 of the family's 1533-position model. Lineage: Bacteria; Bacillati; Actinomycetota; Actinomycetes; Kitasatosporales; Streptomycetaceae. The record is from RNAcentral.